RNAcentral lists this small RNA (387 nucleotides) under Arabidopsis thaliana (thale cress). Its description in RNAcentral is "ATSL103970". Lineage: Eukaryota; Viridiplantae; Streptophyta; Magnoliopsida; Brassicales; Brassicaceae. The record is from RNAcentral.
CAUGCAUGCAUACCUAGUUGAUUGCACAACGUUCAAACUAAAAAUGUUUAUAACGCCCAUAGAAAAAACUCUCAGUAACCCUCCACAUACACAUAUCACAUACAUCGGAAUUCACGAUAUGCGAUUGUAACGUCUCUAAAAAUUACUCUUUUCACAGUCGCGUGACAGGAAAAAAUUCACUGCCACCAAGGCAAACAACGUUAUCGAACUUUCGAUAGACUAAGACCAUGAAUGGUAACAUAGACCACACCCAAAACCGCACCGCAACAGUAUUAAAAUCUUUACAUAUAUAUGUAUUUAUGUAUUUUUGUUACUAUUUGACAUAGAUCUUCUUUUCUUUUAUUGUCGAUGUCGGCUGAUUGUGCGACUAGAAAAAAAACACUCCCA